RNAcentral lists this ribosomal RNA (467 nucleotides) under uncultured bacterium. Its description in RNAcentral is "partial 16S ribosomal RNA". It matches the Rfam family "Bacterial small subunit ribosomal RNA", at positions 28 to 507 of the family's 1533-position model. The record is from RNAcentral.
GACGAACGCUGGCGGCGUGCUUAACACAUGCAAGUCGAACGGAAAGGCCUCUUUCGGGGGGUGCUCGAGUGGCGAACGGGUGAGUAACACGUGAGUAACCUGCCCUUGACUUUGGGAUAACUUCAGGAAACUGGGGCUAAUACCGGAUAGGAGCUCCUGCUGCAUGGUGGGGGUUGGAAAGUUUCGGCGGUUGGGGAUGGACUCGCGGCUUAUCAGCUUGUUGGUGGGGUAGUGGCUUACCAAGGCUUUGACGGGUAGCCGGCCUGUGAGGGUGACCGGCCACAUUGGGACUGAGAGACGGCACAGACUCCUACGGGAGGCAGCAGGGGGGAAGAUUGCACAAGGGGUGGAAGCCUGAUGCAGCAACGCCGUGUGCGGGAUGACGGCCUUCGGGUUGUAAACCGCUUUCGCUCAUGACGAAGCUUUGUGUGACGGUAGUGGGUAAAGAAGCACCGGCUAACUACGUG